AUGAGCCACCAGAUGAGGAGUCUGGUGAAGGUGGAGGGUCGCCCCUGCCCAUCCCCGGCGGCCGACGGUGGCGGGGCACCGAGGACGAUGGACGGGCUAGGCAACGCCGGGCCCACGCCGUUCCUCGCCAAGACCUAUGACAUGGUCGACGACCCCGCCACCGACGCCGUCGUCUCCUAG
Molecule: ribosomal RNA, 180 nt
Filed under: Triticum aestivum (bread wheat)
Lineage: Eukaryota; Viridiplantae; Streptophyta; Magnoliopsida; Poales; Poaceae
Description: partial small subunit ribosomal RNA
Source: RNAcentral